Molecule: ribosomal RNA, 561 nt
Filed under: Salmonella enterica
Lineage: Bacteria; Pseudomonadati; Pseudomonadota; Gammaproteobacteria; Enterobacterales; Enterobacteriaceae
Also listed under: 3 other names
Description: partial 23S ribosomal RNA
Rfam family: Bacterial large subunit ribosomal RNA
Source: RNAcentral
AGACCCGAAACCCGGUGAUCUAGCCAUGGGCAGGUUGAAGGUUGGGUAACACUAACUGGAGGACCGAACCGACUAAUGUUGAAAAAUUAGCGGAUGACCUGUGGCUGGGGGUGAAAGGCCAAUCAAACCGGGAGAUAGCUGGUUCUCCCCGAAAGCUAUUUAGGUAGCGCCUCGUGAAUUCAUCUCCGGGGGUAGAGCACUGUUUCGGCUAGGGGGCCAUCCCGGCUUACCAACCCGAUGCAAACUGCGAAUACCGGAGAAUGUUAUCACGGGAGACACACGGCGGGUGCUAACGUCCGUCGUGAAGAGGGAAACAACCCAGACCGCCAGCUAAGGUCCCAAAGUCAUGGUUAAGUGGGAAACGAUGUGGGAAGGCCCAGACAGCCAGGAUGUUGGCUUAGAAGCAGCCAUCAUUUAAAGAAAGCGUAAUAGCUCACUGGUCGAGUCGGCCUGCGCGGAAGAUGUAACGGGGCUAAACCAUGCACCGAAGCUGCGGCAGCGAACGUAUCACCCAAGACAACUUUACGGAGUUGACGAUUGACGGAGCGAAGCGACGUCAAA